RNAcentral lists this long non-coding RNA (877 nucleotides) under Amborella trichopoda. Its description in RNAcentral is "long non-coding RNA (ATRI_LNC001035)". Lineage: Eukaryota; Viridiplantae; Streptophyta; Magnoliopsida; Amborellales; Amborellaceae. The record is from RNAcentral.
UUUCUUUUCAAAAACAAAUUGAAGAUAACUAAAGAAUCAGCAUGAUUACUUGAUGAAAAAAUUUAGGGGAACAAAAAAAAUCAAAAAAAGAGAGAAAAGUUCUAGUUGCUAAAGAAAUUAUAAAAGAAAUAGAAUGUCAUGAAAGAAAAUGAAAAGCAUAUGACUUCAAGAAACAAAUUACUCAAACAUAUUUCUCUCUCUCUACUGAUAAAAUAACAUUUAUAAAUGAGAACCCACAUCAACCUUCACUCUUUAAUAUUUUCUCUCUCUUUAAUAUUUUCUCUCUCUUUAAAAUCCUAAAAUGUGGUUUUAGAGAGAGAGAAAUCAUCACAAGAAGAUAAUGAAUUGGGUAAGAUGUAAUGCCCUUAUAUUUAUAUUUAAAUGUCCGUCGAUCCUUUAUGUAGUAAAUCAUAACUGAAAAUGUGUGUUGAUUUUUGAAUUUUAAUAUUCUCUCUCUAUAAUAUUCACGUUUUAUAGAGAUUAUCUUUAUGUACGGUACGGUAUCUUUAUUAUCUCUUACACGGGAUACUGAUAUUCGGUUACGGGCCCUAAUCCUAUGGGAUGAUUUUAACCUUAUCUUGUGUUCGGAGUCUUCGGAAAUGAUAAUUUUCUAAAUGAUAAACUUUUAUGUUUUAUCAUAUACAUAGUUGUUAUCAUUUUGUGUUAUCUAUUAGAUAGUAAGUUCACAUGUAACUAUUUGUGUUCUCUUAGGCAUAUUAUAUUUUGAUUGAAAAAGAGUUACAUAGUUUUCACAAAAUAAUAAUUUAAUAUUUUUAAACUAAAAGAAUUUAUUUGUGAUUAAAAAUAAAAUUUUAGAUAUUAAAUCUAAAAAAUAAAUAUUGCCCAUAAGAGCAUGUUAUACAAUUUUUUAAAACCA